GGCUCUGGGCUCUUCCCCUCGCUCCCACCGCGUCUGCUUCUCCGCCUCCUCGUUCCCCCUCGUUUUUCCAGUGACCCCCCUGUUGGACCGCCCGCCUCGUAGGCAGCCUGCAGCCCUUCAGCUCCCUCCAAAUGUCUGGUUUAAAACAUGAUGCACAGAUGGCUCGUGCAUGCUCUAACUCUGGGAUGAUCUGGACACAUUCGCUUCAUUGCUGCAUGCAGAUUAACUCCCGAGAAUAGCGGCUGGAAUUCUGAUAUGUGGGAGCAGUAUGAAAGUCAAUUAGAAAAGGAGCCAACAAUGAUAGAGGUGGAUUCUGUUGUGGCACAGAGAAUGAGUUCAGCCAGCUUCAUGAGAAAGACUUGAUAGUUUGGUUGAAGCUGAAAUGUGACCUUAGUGUGACAGGAGAUCUCAGUUCAAAAUGCUCACUGAACUUUUCUCUGUCCUGCCUUCAACCCUCAGCCUACAUCACAGGCUUGAGCAGGACACAAGUGGAAUUCCAGUUUGAACAGCCCUCAGUUUUCUAAGCCCAAAUAAGGUAACUUAAAAUCCAAAUCUCUUAAAUUCCGGUUCAGUCAUGUAUGAGUCAAAUUUUCCAAGCUACUCAGGUGGUAUUACUUCAUUAGGUCUUGAGUCACCUGUGUCUAGGCUGUGGAUUUACAAUAAGAGCUUUAGUCCUUGUUCUGCACCCCAAUAGUGUAAGUCUGCUGUUAAUGAGGAGGGAGAUUUUCGUAUCAACUAACUAAAGGCACCUAAAGGUAUAAUUUUGAAAGCUGUUUAAACUGACGCUAGCUAUUUCAUAUCUAGAAAUGAUGUGAUCCGAAUCCUUUAAGAACUUAUUCUACCUUUUGAAAUUUUACUCAAAGGUAUUAGGGCUAGAUAUUAUCAUAGUUUAAACAAAAUAAAGCUGUUUUCUCCUUCUUUUGUCCUCA
Anser brachyrhynchus (Pink-footed goose) is the source of this 929-nucleotide long non-coding RNA. The record is from Ensembl. NCBI's taxonomy places the organism in Eukaryota, Metazoa, Chordata, Aves, Anseriformes, Anatidae.